Molecule: ribosomal RNA, 437 nt
Filed under: uncultured bacterium
Lineage: Bacteria
Description: bacterial SSU rRNA
Rfam family: Bacterial small subunit ribosomal RNA
Source: RNAcentral
GCUAAACGCGAAGAACCUUACCUAGGCUUGACAUAUACCGAAAACUCACAGAGAUGUGGGGUCCGCAAGGGCGGUAUACAGGUAGUGCAUGGUUGUCGUCAGCUCGUGUCGUGAGAUGUUGGGUUAAGUCCCGCAACGAGCGCAACCCUCGUUCUAUGUUGCCAGCACGUAAUGGUGGGGACUCAUAGGAGACUGCCGGGGUCAACUCGGAGGAAGGUGGGGAUGACGUCAAAUCAUCAUGCCCCUUAUGUCUUGGGCUUCACGCAUGCUACAAUGGCCGGUACAAAGGGCUGCAAUACCGCGAGGUGGAGCGAAUCCCAAAAAGCCGGUCUCAGUUCGGAUUGAGGUCUGCAACUCGACCUCAUGAAGUCGGAGUCGCUAGUAAUCGCAGAUCAGCAACGCUGCGGUGAAUACGUUCCCGGGUCUUGUACACACCG